GAAGGAAAGAAAAUGUACACGUGCUCUGUCAUAGGCCCCAGUGUUGGGUGCUUUCCUCUUUCCUCUUACCAAACACUCACCGCUGCCUUCCAGGGAGGUGCCUCCUGACUGUUUUUCAGGGUCUUCUGGCUGCUCUCUGAGGAGAUGGAAUGCAGAUGGCUCCAAUGAACUCAGCCCCAUGGGAUGACACCGUGCCAGGAUGCAGGAUGCAUGGUGACAAAUUUCAGAAUGUAAGCUCCAGGAGGGCAAGGACUUCAUCUUGUUCACUUGAAGCUGAAGCCCCAGCAUGUACAAUCCCGUGCUGAGUUGCUGGUUCAUCCCCAGCAUGUACAAUCCCGUGCUGAGUUGCUGGUUCAUCCCCAACAUGUACAAUUCCGUGCUGGGUCGCUGGUUCACCAGCAGAGAGGAGCAUUGAUUCUCUUUGGAAAAGAUAAUCUAUCUACACCCCUGGAACUGUGGCACAGUCUCACGGAGGGCCUGCUUCCAUUCGGGUCAACGGCGAAAAAACGAAUAAACGUGAGCCGCCAUCAGGUGAGGACAUGGAAGCACAGGGAGGUUAUGCCACUCGCCCAAAGACAACUAAUCAGUGACAGCUGAGACUUGGACUGCAGAACCUACACUUUAUAACUAUUUUACAGUUCUGGGCGUCACGGAAUCUUGCAUGAAGAGCCCCUAACCUGGCCCGGGUGGAGGUCAGGGAGGUCUUCCUGGAAGAGGGGGUUCUUGGCAGCAACUUGCUGGAUUUGGUGUUCCCUGUUGGUUGGUCAGUCGCUAGACAGUUAUUCACUGAGCUCUGAGAACAGGCUGGGCCCUGCUCCAGGCCUUGGUUGGACAGCAGGGAACAAGGCUGGGGGAAAUGACUCCCGAGAAAAUGGACAUGUGUGACCCUGGGUUCUGGGAAGGCAGGGAGGGAAGACAAGUACCAGAGGCACAGCGAGGGUCUCUCUGGAGCCACAGGGAGAGGGGAGGGAUGCACAGGCCUGGUGUGCUGCAGGGCCUGAGCCUGUGGCUGCUUCUGGCCAGGAAAGAAGCCAACGUUACUUAAAGAAGUUAUUCAUGUAACCAAAUACCACCUGUUCCCCAAAACCCUAUGGAAAUAAAAAAUUAAAAAAAAUAAAAAAGAGUAAGCAAC
Molecule: long non-coding RNA, 1132 nt
Filed under: Homo sapiens (human)
Lineage: Eukaryota; Metazoa; Chordata; Mammalia; Primates; Hominidae
Description: HSALNT0290528
Source: RNAcentral